CACAUGCUUUGCUGACGAGUGGCGGACGGGUGAGUAAUGUCUGGGAAACUGCCUGAUGGAGGGGGAUAACUACUGGAAACGGUAGCUAAUACCGCAUAACGUCGCAAGACCAAAGAGGGGGACCUUCGGGCCUCUUGCCAUCGGAUGUGCCCAGAUGGGAUUAGCUAGUAGGUGGGGUAACGGCUCACCUAGGCGACGAUCCCUAGCUGGUCUGAGAGGAUGACCAGCCACACUGGAACUGAGACACGGUCCAGACUCCUACGGGAGGCAGCAGUGGGGAAUAUUGCACAAUGGGCGCAAGCCUGAUGCAGCCAUGCCGCGUGUAUGAAGAAGGCCUUCGGGUUGUAAAGUACUUUCAGCGGGGAGGAAGGCGUUGAGGUUAAUAACCUUGUCGAUUGACGUUACCCGCAGAAGAAGCACCGGCUAACUCCGUGCCAGCAGCCGCGGUAAUACGGAGGGUGCAAGCGUUAAUCGGAAUUACUGGGCGUAAAGCGCACGCAGGCGGUCUGUCAAGUCGGAUGUGAAAUCCCCGGGCUCAACCUGGGAACUGCAUUCGAAACUGGCAGGCUAGAGUCUUGUA
Molecule: ribosomal RNA, 580 nt
Filed under: Bacillus tequilensis
Lineage: Bacteria; Bacillati; Bacillota; Bacilli; Caryophanales; Bacillaceae
Description: bacterial SSU rRNA
Rfam family: Bacterial small subunit ribosomal RNA
Source: RNAcentral